This 603-nucleotide ribosomal RNA is filed under the name Paenibacillus sp. LHD-117. Its description in RNAcentral is "bacterial SSU rRNA". It matches the Rfam family "Bacterial small subunit ribosomal RNA", at positions 1 to 583 of the family's 1533-position model. Lineage: Bacteria; Bacillati; Bacillota; Bacilli; Caryophanales; Paenibacillaceae. The record is from RNAcentral.
UUUAUGGAGAGUUUGAUCCUGGCUCAGGACGAACGCUGGCGGCGUGCCUAAUACAUGCAAGUCGAGCGGAUCUGAUGGAGUGCUUGCACUCCUGAUGGUUAGCGGCGGACGGGUGAGUAACACGUAGGUAACCUGCCUGUAAGACUGGGAUAACAUUCGGAAACGAAUGCUAAUACCGGAUACGCGAAUUGGUCGCAUGGCCGAUUCGGGAAAGACGGAGCAAUCUGUCGCUUAUAGAUGGACCUGCGGCGCAUUAGCUAGUUGGUGAGGUAACGGCUCACCAAGGCGACGAUGCGUAGCCGACCUGAGAGGGUGAUCGGCCACACUGGGACUGAGACACGGCCCAGACUCCUACGGGAGGCAGCAGUAGGGAAUCUUCCGCAAUGGGCGAAAGCCUGACGGAGCAACGCCGCGUGAGUGAUGAAGGUUUUCGGAUCGUAAAGCUCUGUUGCCAGGGAAGAACGCUUGGGAGAGUAACUGCUCCCAAGGUGACGGUACCUGAGAAGAAAGCCCCGGCUAACUACGUGCCAGCAGCCGCGGUAAUACGUAGGGGGCAAGCGUUGUCCGGAAUUAUUGGGCGUAAAGCGCGCGCAGGCGGUUAAU